RNAcentral lists this ribosomal RNA (351 nucleotides) under uncultured bacterium. Its description in RNAcentral is "bacterial SSU rRNA". It matches the Rfam family "Bacterial small subunit ribosomal RNA", at positions 8 to 350 of the family's 1533-position model. The record is from RNAcentral.
AGAGUUUGAUCAUGGCUCAGGAUGAACGCUAGCUACAGGCUUAACACAUGCAAGUCGAGGGGCAGCAUGUUGGUUGCUUGCAACCAACGAUGGCGACCGGCGCACGGGUGAGUAACGCGUAUCCAACCUACCCUUGUCCAUCGGAUAACCCGUCGAAAGGCGGCCUAACACGAUAUGCGGUUCACAGCAGGCAUCUAACGUGAACGAAAUGUGAAGGAGAAGGAUGGGGAUGCGUCUGAUUAGCUUGGUUGGCGGGGUAACGGCCACCAAGGCUACGAUCAGUAGGGGUUCUGGAGAGGAAGGUCCCCCACAUUGGAACUGAGACCACGGUCCAAACUCCUACGGGAGGCA